This 450-nucleotide ribosomal RNA is filed under the name uncultured bacterium. RNAcentral's name for it is "partial 16S ribosomal RNA". It matches the Rfam family "Bacterial small subunit ribosomal RNA", at positions 354 to 796 of the family's 1533-position model. The record is from RNAcentral.
GUGGUGAAUUUUGGACAAUGGGCGAAAGCCUGAUCCAGCCAUGCCGCGUGCAGGAUGAAGGCCUUCGGGUUGUAAACCGCUUUUGUACGGAACGAAAAGACUCUGGUUAAUACCUGGGGUCCAUGACGGUACCGUAAGAAUAAGCACCGGCUAACUACGUGCCAGCAGCCGCGGUAAUACGUAGGGUGCAAGCGUUAAUCGGAAUUACUGGGCGUAAAGCGUGCGCAGGCGGUUAUAUAAGACAGAUGUGAAAUCCCCGGGCUCAACCUGGGAACUGCAUUUGUGACUGUAGAGCUAGAGUACGGCAGAGGGGGAUGGAAUUCCGCGUGUAGCAGUGAAAUGCGUAGAUAUGCGGAGGAACACCGAUGGCGAAGGCAAUCCCCUGGGCCUGUACUGACGCUCAUGCACGAAAGCGUGGGGAGCAAACAGGAUUAGAUACCCGAGUAGUCC